UACGAAGGGUGCAAACGUUGCUCGGAAUUAUUGGGCGUAAAGCGCACGUAGGCGGCUUGGCAAGUCGGAUGUGAAAUCCCUCGGCUCAACCAAGGAAGUGCAUCCGAAACUGCUGAGCUUGAGUACUUAAGAGGAUCGCGGAAUUCCCGGUGUAGAGGUGAAAUUCGUAGAUAUCUGGAGGAACACCGGUGGCGAAGGCGGCAUCCUGGACCAACACUGACGCUGAGUGAGCGAAAGCCAGGGGAGCAAACGGG
Molecule: ribosomal RNA, 254 nt
Filed under: uncultured bacterium
Lineage: Bacteria
Description: partial 16S ribosomal RNA
Rfam family: Bacterial small subunit ribosomal RNA
Source: RNAcentral